Apis laboriosa (Himalayan honeybee) is the source of this 1581-nucleotide long non-coding RNA. RefSeq lists it as uncharacterized. NCBI's taxonomy places the organism in Eukaryota, Metazoa, Arthropoda, Insecta, Hymenoptera, Apidae. The record is from RefSeq and is a predicted model, not a curated record. The transcript is spliced from 7 exons.
GAUAAGAAACGACACUUGUUUAAACUAUCGAGCAACGGGGUAAUGAGAAUUUAGCCGUCCGAAGACGCGAGGGAGAAAUACAGAGUGGCCGUGUUUGGUUUAGCGAACUGCUUUGAUCUAAAUAGGGACGAAGUUGGAAAGUAGCUCGCUUUAACCUCAUCCUUUCUGAAUUGAGACCUCCAAAGAAUAUAUUAACACCUUGUAUAUACCAGAGAAACUCGUCUGAAAAAUUAGCUGCUUUCUGCUCAAUGAUGAUCAUAUAACAAAAAUCGAGACCUGCAAAGAAUAUAUUAACACCCUGUACAUCACCAGCAGAGAAACCAGCUGCUUUCUACCCAAUGAUGAUCAUAUAACAAAGAAUCGAGAAUAUAUUAACACCUUGUAUAUACCAGAAAAACUCAUUUGAAAAACUAGCUUUUCUUCCAAUGAUGAUCAUAUAACAAAAAUCGACACUUCCAAAGAAUAUAUUAAGAUUCUAUAUACCAUCAGCAGAGAAACCAGCUGCUUUCUACCCAAUGAUGAUCAUAUAACAAAGAAUCGAGAUCUCCAAAGAAUAUAUUAACACCCUGUACACCACCAGCAGAGAAACUCAUGUGAGAAACCGGCUGCUUUCUGCCCAAUUAUUUUCGUAUCUCUGCCAGCCAUGACCACCAUCCGUCCGUAUCCCCGUGGCCACGGCCCUUGCGGCUGUCGUGGACCGCACGUGUCCCCUGUAUCCAUCCUUUAACCGCCUUUCACCUGGAUAUCACAUUCAGGAAAUGAAAAUACCAUAAUGGCCGCUGAAAUGCAACCUCGGAAAAUUUCUACGGUUAUACGUGCCUCGUAUCUGUACCCUGAUGCUCUCCCUGAAACACUCGGACUGCGAAAGAAAAUUGAAAAGUCUGUGAGCUCGUCUGAUACGUAACGGGUGAGACGAGCGAUUCGAAAUUGCAAUUGGAUGGCGGAUUUCUUUUAGCCUUCUAAAGAGGCGAAUUUACGAAUUCUUUCGUCAAUUUUAUUUCGUGCUUAAAAAUCAUUGGAGAUGAGGCGGAUUAAUAAAUCGGUUCAAUUUUCUUGAAAUUUUGGACAACGAUUUAAGAUUUAACGAUGUUUGUAUGGAAUACAAUCGAGACAUCAGAGAGUUAAAAUAAAUUUAUAGUAAUGAAAAUGGCAUCAAAUCCGAGAGAAUCACCUGAACACUUAGAAGAGAAAAUAUUUCAAGAAUUGAUUCGAAGAAUCGACAAUCUAGAGAAAAUGGAAGCAAAUGGAAUUUGGCAUUCGAAGAGAUUUCGCGUCAGAAACGGAGGACAAUGGUUUGCGAAUGUAUUGCGCGGUUUGGAAGAGAAGAGAAAAUCCAUGAAAAUUGAAUUUUAAAAUUCAUGAUUAAGAGAAAAAACUUUGUUUGUGAAGAGAUAGUACCUCGUGGAUUUAUAUAAAAUAUAUUCUUAAAAGAAAAAUCUUAUUCACCAUAAUCAAAGAAAAAUAAAAAAGAUUGCAUUUCUAUAUCCAAAAUAUUAUCCGACUUCACAUUCUACAUACUUCAAAUACCGAUUUUCUUUAACUCACAGGUACACGCAAAAUUAUUCAUCAAUUUCCCAAUAA